This 498-nucleotide ribosomal RNA is filed under the name uncultured bacterium. Its description in RNAcentral is "bacterial SSU rRNA". It matches the Rfam family "Bacterial small subunit ribosomal RNA", at positions 899 to 1397 of the family's 1533-position model. The record is from RNAcentral.
ACUCAAAUGAAUUGACGGGGGCCCGCACAAGCGGAGGAACAUGUGGUUUAAUUCGAUGAUACGCGAGGAACCUUACCCGGGAUUGAAAUGGGGGGGAAUGGCGGUGAAAGCCGUCAGUCAGCAAUGACCCCUCUGUAGGUGCUGCAUGGUUGUCGUCAGCUCGUGCCGUGAGGUGUCGGCUUAAGUGCCAUAACGAGCGCAACCCUGACUGUCAGUUGCUAGCGGGUAAUGCCGAGGACUCUGACGGGACUGCCGGCGUAAGCUGCGAGGAAGGUUGGGAUGACGUCAAAUCAGCACGGCCCUUACAUCCGGGGCGACACACGUGUUACAAUGGUGGGGACAAAGGGCAGCUACCGGGCGACCGGAUGCCAAUCUCUAAACCCCAUCUCAGUUCGGAUCGGAGUCUGCAACCCGACUCCGUGAAGCCGGAUUCGCUAGUAAUCGCGCAUCAGCCAUGGCGCGGUGAAUACGUUCCCGGGCCUUGCACACACCGCCCGU